Molecule: long non-coding RNA, 279 nt
Organism: Sapajus apella (tufted capuchin)
Lineage: Eukaryota; Metazoa; Chordata; Mammalia; Primates; Cebidae
Exons: 3
Source: RefSeq, a predicted model, not a curated record
AAAGAAACAAAGUGAUUUCACAUUAUUCAGUAGUGUUCUUAGAAAUAAUGUACCAUUUCUAGCCUCUUUCACUUGGAAGUACAGAUACACAAUCCUCAUGCCUCUAAUAGGAUCACAGCCUUAUGGGCAGGAGCUGGUUUCUUUAUGCCUUCACUUCCUCCUUCUAAUUCAGGACAGAAGUCUAACAUUUAUCACACACAAAGCUGCUCAGUAAACACUUAAGAUUUUGUGUACAUUCAUAGCAGAACAAGUCCUUUUUAUAUUUUUGAAACUUGAAAA